Molecule: ribosomal RNA, 500 nt
Filed under: Sphingomonas azotifigens
Lineage: Bacteria; Pseudomonadati; Pseudomonadota; Alphaproteobacteria; Sphingomonadales; Sphingomonadaceae
Description: bacterial SSU rRNA
Rfam family: Bacterial small subunit ribosomal RNA
Source: RNAcentral
CAGGAAAUCUUCUCCACUUCUUGAAGGUGUUUAAGUUUGCGGCAUAAAAAAUAAAAUGAAAUCCUGCUUCAUUAGAGGGAUUGCCUUUUAUACUGCUCACUUGUUCCUUUAUUGUGAGUGGAAUUUUAGUGUUUAGUGAAAUUCAUAGUAUUUUUAAGAACACCAGUGGAGAAACGGCUCACUGGACUGGUAUUGAACUGAGGUGCAAAGCGUGGGGAGCAAACAGGAUUAGAUCCCUGGUAGUCCAGCCGUAAACGAUGAUAACUACUGUCCGGGGACUUGUUCUUUGGUUGCCUAUCUCUGCAUUAUCUUAUCCCCUGGUUAUUACGGUCGCAAAUUAAAACUCAAAGGAAUGACGGGGGCCUGCAAAUGUUGAAUCAUGUGUUUAUUCAACCACCCCCAAACCUUACCGCUUUAUUGUCCGAAUAUUUCAAAUAUUUUUUUCCCUUCUCGAUGAACCGGUGCUGCAGGCUGUCGUCCCUCCUUCUGUUUGUUUAUAC